AUGCCAGACAGUAAACUAGGGCAUCUUGGACCAGUACAGUGUCCGCAGACAUUCUGGAAAUUGCUUCCCCAGUUGUCAUCUCCACAUCAAAGAAUGAAACAUCCUGUUUUAGAACAGCUUCAAGGUAUAGAGAUCGGAUGCGUAUUGACUGCCUUUCUCCAGUCAUUGUCCAGCAUGACACCUCUGCCACAGGUAGCAAGCAGGUUAAUGUUUAAGGCUGUCAGCCACUCCAUGGAAAUUCUGUUGCGUGUGAAUGCAAUCCAACUAAAAGCAGAGAUUAUGCAACUCAUUCGUACUGCUCGGUAUUUUGGUUCAAGUUAA
RNAcentral lists this ribosomal RNA (321 nucleotides) under Triticum aestivum (bread wheat). RNAcentral describes it as "partial small subunit ribosomal RNA". Lineage: Eukaryota; Viridiplantae; Streptophyta; Magnoliopsida; Poales; Poaceae. The record is from RNAcentral.